CAGUCGCCGCGGUAAUACGUAGGGUGCAAGCGUUAAUCGGAAUUACUGGGCGUAAAGGGCUCGCAGGCGGUUUCUUAAGUCUGAUGUGAAAGCCCCCGGCUCAACCGGGGAGGGUCAUUGGAAACUGGGAAACUUGAGUGCAGAAGAGGAGAGUGGAAUUCCACGUGUAGCGGUGAAAUGCGUAGAGAUGUGGAGGAACACCAGUGGCGAAGGCGACUCUCUGGUCUGUAAUUGACGCUGAGGAGCGAAAGCGUGGGGAGCGAACAGGAUUAGAUACCCGAGUAGCCCUGUCUCUUAUACA
RNAcentral lists this ribosomal RNA (301 nucleotides) under uncultured bacterium. Its description in RNAcentral is "partial 16S ribosomal RNA". It matches the Rfam family "Bacterial small subunit ribosomal RNA", at positions 509 to 809 of the family's 1533-position model. The record is from RNAcentral.